RNA transcript from Gadus chalcogrammus (walleye pollock), 4233 nucleotides. It is a transcript of the gene named protein KATNIP homolog, with no coding region annotated. The record is from RefSeq and is a predicted model, not a curated record. The transcript is spliced from 5 exons. Lineage: Eukaryota; Metazoa; Chordata; Actinopteri; Gadiformes; Gadidae.
GGCUGGCUUUACUGUCGUUCUCGAAGUGUCGUCUGACUUGACCGUAGUAAAAAAAAAAAUAGGUUUUAGUUAAAUUGUAUUAUUUAAAAUUUGGGAACAACCAACCCCUAACAUCACGCCCUGUCGAAUCCCCAACAUUUGGUCAGUGUUUGUCAGGGUUAGUUAGUUGGGGUAAGUUAGUGUGAAUAAACAGACCCUGGUCGUCCAUGUGAUGAGGAGGAGGAAGUGAUGCACAUUAAUGUUCACUCAGAGGAAACUGACGCUCUCCUGCUCAGAACCAGAUCUCCCGUUUCAAACUUUGCCCAGAAAAAGAUCUGAACCCAAAAGGAUCAACAGUCACCAAAGAACGAUUGAUCAACCGUCACCAAAGAACGAAGGCUUUCCCCAAAGUGGAGCAAAGUGUUUAUUGUGAUGAAGUCGGUAGCCGGGCGCUAGCUGCAAGCUAGCUGACCAGUACGAGCUGGUUCCAGCGGACUGGUUCCACUGGUCGGUCGGCCUGUAAACCACUGGGUUGGAUCGCGGUUCUGUGAUGCGACUGUAAACCAGCAUCACGUCGUCCAGCAGAUGUCAAGGUCAGCACAAUGCAUCAGGAUAAGAUGACCCGUCCCUUCAUAGUGGCCUGCCUUGUCUGAGGACGGGAUCACCCCCCCGCUCUGCCCCAGGGCCACAGGGCUAUGUGGAGACAUCUCGCCUGGCCAGAGCAGAGGCGUCCAGGGGUUGCAGACGGCGCCUGACGCAGAGUGGGAGACAUGGGCCAGUGUGUCACCAAGUGCAAGAACCCGACCUCCUCCCUGGGCAGCAAGAGCGGAGACAAGGAGGGCGGCUCCAAAGCUCACCACAAGAAGAGCAGCAGCAGCUGCGGCGGCGGGCACAAGGAGGAGACCAGCGCCUUGUGCAGCAAAAGCUCCGGCGAGCUGUCCAAUGGCACAAAGGCCCCGGACGUGUCCCUGGAGACAGCCGUGGUCCCGUCGGUGACCCGGGACCCUCACCGGGAGGAGCCGGCGGCGGACCGAGACGGCCUCUCGCUGGCGCGCAUCGAGCAGCUCUUCUGCGGCUACAAGGACCAGCAGGACGACGCCAUCCUGGAGGAGGGCAUGGAGCGCUUCUGCAACGACCUGCGCGUGGACCCCGCCGAGUUCCGCGUCCUCGUCAUCGCCUGGAAGUUCCAGGCGGCCACCAUGUGCAAGUUUACAAGGAAGGAGUUUGUGGACGGCUGCAAGGCCAUCCAGGCGGACAGCCUGGAGGGCAUCUGCUCCCGCUUCCCCUGCAUGCUGCUGGAGGCCAGGGGGGAGGAGAGCUUCAAGGACCUGUACCGCUUCACCUUCCAGUUCGGCCUGGACGCCGAGGACGGCCAGCGCUCGCUGCAGCGCGACAUCGCCAUCGCCCUGUGGCGGCUGGUGUUCACGCAGGACACGCCCAGCAUCCUGGAGCGCUGGCUGGACUUCCUGGCGGAGAACCCUUCGGGCGUGCGGGGCAUCUCGCGGGACACAUGGAACAUGUUCCUCAACUUCACCCAGGCCGUCGGGUCCGACCUGAGCAACUACAGCGAGGACGAAGCCUGGCCCAGCCUCUUCGACACCUUCGUGGAGUGGGAGACAGAGAGCCGCCGGAGGGAGGGGCAGCAGGGCGGCUGGGGGGGGGCUGAGACCAAGAGCUCGACAGAGGGGGGCGGGGGCUCCCAGACCUUGGGAGGGCACUGACGGGGAUCUGUCAAUCAUUGGAUGAAUAUUAGUAUUACACUUAUGGCUAUUCAUUUCUCCACGGGAUUCCCGUUGUAACCUUAUUUGUUUUGGGUUAUUGAAAGGGCUUUAUGAACGGUUAUAUUGUGAGCAAUUCUAUUAACUUAUUUGACCUUUUUUUGAUUUAAUUUUCUUUUCAUGUGUUUUAAGUAAUUGGGACCUGAGGUGCAUUUUAAUCAUAACUAAUUCAUCCAUUACAAUAAUAAUAAACACAGAUAUGAGCAACGCAGGAAACAAAACAUGCAGGAGGCAAGCCUUUCAUUAACAGCUGGGCUCUUUGAACUGAUGACUGGUUAUUAAGGGCCAAGCAAGGGUCAAGAAGGGACAGUGGAUACUCUCCGCCGUUACAAUACGCUUUCACAUCAUGACUUUAUCCUCCGGGGGUCAGGGUCGGUUAAAGGAGGUCACCAACCUUAUUGUAACAUUGACAGAAGGCACUAGGUAGUACCUAGUGCUACCUAGUGCUACCUAGUAGGUACUACCUGGUACCUAGUGCCUAGUGCUAGCUGGCGGGUGCUACCUGGCGGGUCGCGGUCUGCUUGCACUACCGAGGCAUAAACUAAUGUUCCACAUUUCAUCAUGAGAAAAUUAUUUUUAGGAUGAUGUCAUUUGCACGUUUUAGUCAUUGAUUAAGGAUUUUGCCCUAGAGAAUUUAUUUUAAAACGCCCCAACCUCGUCCCCCAAUCUGUAUCAGUGAAUGCUGCGGACGUUUAGUGCUGAGAAAGGCCGUGUCCCAGCCGUGACUAAAGCCAUGUACCAGUUCCACCUCUGAAGCACACCUUUUGAUGCUCACUGAUUGCCAGGUUGCGGAAAAGGUGUACUAUUAUUAAAACGUGCAGGAAUUCUGGCUUUAUUUUCAUGAGCUGCCUUAUUUUAUUUCUUGGAACAUCAGAACAAUUCAUGCUAGGUUUGUCAUUUCUUGAAAUAGGAAUCUUGCAGCAGGGUUAGGUUAGGAUAAGGACAUUUGGGUCAACCUCCCCUUUGACCUCAUCUUGGAUUUUCUUGUAGCAUCUUCAACUGCUAUCUAGUAUUGUGGCACUUGAGGAAUGCGUUGACUCGUCAGUGUUGGUUGUAAUAAAUUAAUGCACCAAAACGAAUGGCCUGAUAAGUCACCGUAUAUGUAAUGCUUUGCAAAGAGUGAUGUCAGCUGAACUCUAAAGUGUAUAAACUUAAACAGCCUAGGAUGUUUUGGAAGUGAUUGUUAACCAGGUUGUUUGACUUACCAUGAGUCUAACUAGGUCCAGUAUGGUAAUGGAUACCCAUUACUUUAUUACCUUAUAACCACUUUACAGUGGUUUCGAUUCAGACCCCUUUGUCCUUUUUAUAUCAAAUGCAUUGGUUUAUAAUGAAUAAAACAGUGUUCAACUUUUAAAAGCGGACCAUGGAAUUUCUGCUGUCUUUGCAUGUCGCAUCCAAACUGAAGACCUGUGACUCUUGCCUCCUUAAUAUUAUCGCUUAAUACCUCUAAAGCAUUAUGAUUAGAUGAACCCUGCCUCUCUAAAGCAUUUCUCUCCGUUGUAGAUCAGCAGUUGUUUGGGUUGUGAGCAGAGCAGGGGGCGUGUCAGGAGCAAGGGGCGUGUCUGGUCCGGCUUCGGCUCGCUAUUGGCAGAUGGCUUGCCUGGUAACCAACCAACGCUAACAACAACACGGUGCAAAUUAAAUUACAUUCUCCAGAACGACACGAAAAUAACGAAUAAUAAUUUUAAAAAAAUACUUCGCAUAAUGGGGAAAUGGUCAGGAAUAAUGACCGACACUGAAGAACGGUAAGCAUCAUCCAUCAGCUAACACAACCCUGAAGAACGGUGGCUCACUCUGGAUGAUGGGUCCCUGAACAUCAUCUAACCCCAACCCUACUAUGGAUAGCGAGGUAGGCCGGCAAUGUUUUUCUAAAUACAUUUUGUAUUACGUUUGAAACUGCAAGUGGGCAAACAGGAAAAUUUUUACUUGGCACAUUACUUUAUAUGAGGCAUUAUCAAAUUAUGCUUCCAAUAUAUUUUGAAUGGGUCUAUUCUCUCUCCCUUCUGUAUGAAGUAGUGUCCACUCUGCUCUUCUUUAAACCUUCUUCUUUUGGCUCAGGUGCUGUAGCCUGUCACACUGAGUAAGACAUCUGUCAUUCCCUUUGUCUUCUGCAUGCCGUCCGUCAUUGCUUGUGUUACAGAGAGUCCUUCUGUAUUACAGACAUGCCUAUCUUUGCUUGAAUAAUCAAUGUUGCAUGUAACACAAUCCUGGCUGAACACAUUAUGGCCAAGACUUCCCCUGUUCACUGAUGGCUGCUGUGUAUGCGGUUACAUGGUUGAUUAAUAGCAUCCAUCCAGCACAAUACAUGAGAGUAAGGAAACCAAAGCACUACACAUCUGCUGGACCUUCUCAUACGGAGCCUGCAAAGCCUCAAGCCUCUUAUGGGGAAGUUUAGAGCCUCGUAUGAGACCGCCUAAAGCCUCAUAUCGAUACUGCCUAAAGCCUCUUAUCGAGACCGCCUAGAGCCUCGUAUGAG